CAAGUCGAGCGGAAACGAGUUAUCUGAACCUUCGGGGAACGAUAACGGCGUCGAGCGGCGGACGGGUGAGUAAUGCCUAGGAAAUUGCCCUGAUGUGGGGGAUAACCAUUGGAAACGAUGGCUAAUACCGCAUAAUACCUACGGGUCAAAGAGGGGGACCUUCGGGCCUCUCGCGUCAGGAUAUGCCUAGGUGGGAUUAGCUAGUUGGUGAGGUAAUGGCUCACCAAGGCGACGAUCCCUAGCUGGUCUGAGAGGAUGAUCAGCCACACUGGAACUGAGACACGGUCCAGACUCCUACGGGAGGCAGCAGUGGGGAAUAUUGCACAAUGGGCGCAAGCCUGAUGCAGCCAUGCCGCGUGUGUGAAGAAGGCCUUCGGGUUGUAAAGCACUUUCAGUCGUGAGGAAGGUAGUGUAGUUAAUAGCUGCAUUAUUUGACGUUAGCGACAGAAGAAGCACCGGCUAACUCCGUGCCAGCAGCCGCGGUAAUACGGAGGGUGCGAGCGUUAAUCGGAAUUACUGGGCGUAAAGCGCAUGCAGGUGGUUUGUUAAGUCAGAUGUGAAAGCCCGGG
This 569-nucleotide ribosomal RNA is filed under the name Vibrio harveyi. RNAcentral describes it as "bacterial SSU rRNA". It matches the Rfam family "Bacterial small subunit ribosomal RNA", at positions 58 to 606 of the family's 1533-position model. Lineage: Bacteria; Pseudomonadati; Pseudomonadota; Gammaproteobacteria; Vibrionales; Vibrionaceae. The record is from RNAcentral.